UUCCAAUAUAACGCCAUGGCAUCGUAACUGUAAUAAAACUAGUACAUCACUCAUGAACAGUGCCUCCACUACACCGUUUUGGAACUUUGAGACGACAUCCGGUGUAUACUAUCAUGAUCAUGGUAAAUUCAUCAUAAAUUUUGGUUCAAAAGAGAGUAAAUGUUUUCGUAUCAUAUGGUUAUAACACAACUAACCGACAAAUAUAAUGAUACAAAGCAAGAACAGACAAUUGAAUGUUAUACAUUUUAUAUAUAUAUACCUAUAUAUCUGCCUAUCUAUAAAUAUGUUCAUGUGUUAGUUUAACAUCUAUAAUAUGUUAUCAAUAUUUACUUAUUUAUAUACAGUUUGCUUAUGUGUGCAUUUAUACCUAUGAUUAUCAGUAUUGAUUAAAACAUGAUCAUUUGUAAAUUUUAAAUAACAUUAUAUUUUUCAGAUACGUUGAAUCCAAUGAGCGGCAUUUUUAAAAUACUAAUUAUGGUGACUACAAUUAUAGGCAUGGUUAUUGUUGUUAUUUUGUAUGCAGCUUGCUAUCGAAUGUGCUGUUCUGGAAAGGAAAAGUACCAUGAUUCGUGCAAAUUAGGAACAUUACAUGUGGCGCUAACUUUAUUUACAUACGUCUUGUAUUUGUUUGAUACUCUGUCAGAUGUGUUCUUGUUCUUGCACUAUAUGACGGUGGGGCCAUUUUUUAAUUGUUUGCUUGUUUUGGCAUUUACUUUUGCACCAGUACUUUUCUUAGCAUUUUUGUUCUUUGCAAAACAACACAACAAGUGUGACUGUGGAUACCAUAACAUAUCUUCCUGGAAAGAGAAAUUGUGCUUUCAAAUAUUUGGUUUGGUGGUGGUGGUCGUUUUUAGUCCAUUUGCAGCACUAUUGCCUACUUUCAUGUACGUACUAAUAUGUAAAAGCCAUGUUUAUCUAUUAUACCAUUUAAGAAAUACACAGGACUUGUCAACUUCAAACCCAAACUGCAUAUUCAAUAUGAUGAACAUUUCAUUAAUUUACAAGUUAGUUGGUCAUCAGUGUACAUCGCAUAGGUUUUCAUCAUGUUGCAAACAUACUACAAACAUACACGUGAGUUCAAAACGACACGAAUAAAAAUCCUACUGGUUAAUUGAGAAAAUAAAUAUCCUAGUUUGCAGUAUUUUUACUUGUUUUCAAAAUGAAUCUUUUUUUUAGAAUUGGAUCUUUUUGUAAUAUGAAAGCACACUAUGGAUACGUAUAAUGAUGUUUACAAAUCUGUUAGAUGAAGCUGUUCUAAUCAUGCUGUGAUCCUCUGUUAGUUUUAACUAUACUACAUGGUAUCGAAAUGUGUUAACCAAACUCGAAAAUGAUUUAUUACUGUUGGAUAUCAAAUGAGUUAUCAAUCAUCAGUUACGUAUUUACAGUUUAAACAUUUCUUUUGUUAUUGCAGUUAUGCUCAGGUUCUG
RNAcentral lists this long non-coding RNA (1427 nucleotides) under Mytilus galloprovincialis (Mediterranean mussel). The record is from RNAcentral. Lineage: Eukaryota; Metazoa; Mollusca; Bivalvia; Mytilida; Mytilidae.